GACGAACGCUGGCGGCGUGGAUUAGGCAUGCAAGUCGAGCGAGAACCGUAGCAAUACGGGGACAGCGGCGAAAGGGACAGUAAUGUGUAGGUACCUACCCCGAGGUCUGGGAUAGCUGCGGGAAACUGCAGGUAAUACCGGAUAAUGUCUUCGGACCAAAGGUGUGAUUACACCUUGGGAGGGGCCUGCAUCCUAUUAGCUUGUUGGCGGGGUAACGGCCCACCAAGGCGACGAUGGGUAGCGGGUGUGAGAGCACGACCCGCGUCAUUGGGACUGAGACACUGCCCAGACACCUACGGGUGGCUGCAGUCGAGGAUCUUCGGCAAUGGGCGCAAGCCUGACCGAGCGACGCCGCGUGCGGGAUGAAGGCCCUCGGGUUGUAAACCGCUGUCGUAGAGGAGGAAAUGCAGGGGGGUUCUCCCUUCUGUUUGACCUAUUCUAGGAGGAAGGACGGGCUAAGUUCGUGCCAGCCGCCGCAGUAA
Molecule: ribosomal RNA, 482 nt
Filed under: uncultured bacterium
Lineage: Bacteria
Description: partial 16S ribosomal RNA
Rfam family: Bacterial small subunit ribosomal RNA
Source: RNAcentral